This 70-nucleotide transfer RNA is filed under the name Salmo salar (Atlantic salmon). It matches the Rfam family "tRNA". Rfam says of the family: Transfer RNA (tRNA) molecules are approximately 80 nucleotides in length. Their secondary structure includes four short double-helical elements and three loops (D, anti-codon, and T loops). Lineage: Eukaryota; Metazoa; Chordata; Actinopteri; Salmoniformes; Salmonidae. The record is from Rfam by way of RNAcentral.
CCCCGUGUGGCUCAGCUGGUAGAGCAUGGUGUUUGCAACGCCAGGGUUGUGGGUUCGAUUCCCAAGGGGG